RNAcentral lists this ribosomal RNA (489 nucleotides) under uncultured bacterium. RNAcentral describes it as "partial 16S ribosomal RNA". It matches the Rfam family "Bacterial small subunit ribosomal RNA", at positions 30 to 507 of the family's 1533-position model. The record is from RNAcentral.
AUUGAACGCUGGCGGCAGGCCUAACACAUGCAAGUCGAAUGGUAACAGGAAACAGCUUGCUGUUUCGCUGACGAGUGGCGGACGGGUGAGUAAUGUCUGGGAAACUGCCUGAUGGAGGGGGAUAACUACUGGAAACGGUAGCUAAUACCGCAUAACGUCGCAAGACCAAAGAGGGGGACCUUCGGGCCUCUUGCCAUCAGAUGUGCCCAGAUGGGAUUAGCUAGUAGGUGGGGUAACGGCUCACCUAGGCGACGAUCCCUAGCUGGUCUGAGAGGAUGACCAGCCACACUGGAACUGAGACACGGUCCAGACUCCUACGGGAGGCAGCAGUGGGGAAUAUUGCACAAUGGGCGCAAGCCUGAUGCAGCCAUGCCGCGUGUAUGAAGAAGGCCUUCGGGUUGUAAAGUACUUUCAGCGGGGAGGAAGGGAGUAAGUUAAUACCUUUGCUCAUUGACGUUACCCGCAGAAGAAGCACCGGCUAACUCCGUG